UGGUCUUAGCUUGCUAAGGCCGAUGGCGACCGGCGCACGGGUGAGUAACACGUAUCUAACCUGCCGUCUACUCUUGGACAGCCUUCUGAAAGGAAGAUUAAUACAAGAUGGCAUCAUGAGUCCGCAUGUUCACAUGAUUAAAGGUAUUCCGGUAGACGAUGGGGAUGCGUUCCAUUAGAUAGUAGGCGGGGUAACGGCCCACCAAGGCAACGAUGGGUAGCCGGUCUGAGAGGAAGGUCCCCACAUUGGAACUGAGACACGGUCCAAACUCC
RNAcentral lists this ribosomal RNA (272 nucleotides) under uncultured Bacteroides sp. RNAcentral's name for it is "partial 16S ribosomal RNA". It matches the Rfam family "Bacterial small subunit ribosomal RNA", at positions 70 to 339 of the family's 1533-position model. Lineage: Bacteria; Pseudomonadati; Bacteroidota; Bacteroidia; Bacteroidales; Bacteroidaceae. The record is from RNAcentral.